This 1570-nucleotide long non-coding RNA is filed under the name Marmota monax (woodchuck). The record is from RNAcentral. Lineage: Eukaryota; Metazoa; Chordata; Mammalia; Rodentia; Sciuridae.
UCGACACGGGUACUAUUCAAAACAGCAAUCUGAGUUAGUUGAGACUGGAUCAAGUUUUCUGCUUCCAUGGACCAGGUUCCGGAUAGAUACUCUCCGAUGAUGCGGGAGGCAUUUCUGGAAUCAUUAAAUCUGACAGAGGUUAUACAUAAAUGUGCACGUUGAUCAACACAACCCAAAUGUACUAGGUCAGACAAUUCCUCAACUUGAGCUUGAAGCAGAUCUAUCCUUUGAUUAGCAGCCAAAAUCCCAGAUAGAAUGUGUUGAUUAAUUCUACUUUGAGAUUCAAGUAUGGUGGAUGUUUGUUGAAUAACCUGAUUAAUAGUGGCAGCAGUUUGAACCUGGCUGGCCAUGGCUACUCCAGCUGUAACUGCUGCAGCAGCAGACACUGCCACAGCUGUCACUAUAGCUGCCGUAAUUCCAAAAUCUCUACGGGCUCUAAUCAGUUCAACAAUAGGAAAUGACUCUGGAUCCGCAGUAACCGGGAUCGGGACAAAAGUUGGAAUUUUCAUAACCACUGCCAUAGUCCAGGAGCCAUUCCAACACUCAGACAAGUAACAGGUAGUAUUAGAACAAUUAAGCAUCCCCUGUGAUGUAACAUUAGCCAAAAGGAACAGAAACGGAGAUUGGAGACAGACUGCUGCAGAGGGUAACGUUGCAUUACCUAAUAGUGCAUUGUGUGAAAUAGAUUUGAGUCUCCUAUCCCACCCCGAGUCUUGGGUACUGCCAGAAACAUUAAACAGCCAACUUUGGACUCCUCGUAAUUGAGCCAAAGCGGAGAUGUCGGCUGUGGCCCCCUUUUCAUUGGAAAUCAACCAUUGAAACCAGGACCAACCCGCUCCUAUAGAGGAAUUAUUGUUGGAAGAAUUAUACAAGUACCUUUUGAGAGAGGGGGAAAGGGAAAAACCUUUGGCGACCUGAUGUUUCUCCCAAGAGUGAUCUUGACAAGGUGUAAAUAUAGGAGGGAAGCCAUACUCAGGGGUGCAAUAAGGAGAAGCCUUAAAAUGAGUGGCAUUAGAGGUCUCAUUAGAAGGAGACAACGGAAUUAACACCUGGGAAGUAAUGGCCAAAGUGGUUAUAUUUAACUCAGAUGUAUUUGUCGGGACUCUUCUUGUCAGGCGUUCUGGAACCCACACCGGCUCCGUCCGGUCCCGGCCCCCGGCGGCGCUCCGCUUUCUCCGCAGCGUGAGCCCGCUCCGCAGCAGUGCAGGCAGGUCCUUCAGCCGCGGCCGCAGCGACGCCGGCGGCUGCUCGCGCUCCGGCUCGCGGGCGCUGGGACUGCGGCGCAGAGCGCUGUCCGCCGCCGCCACCGCCGCGGCCAGGGCCGGGUUCUCGCACGGCGGCUGCAUCUUGACUGAGCCCACCGCCAUCCUCAUGCCCAGACCGCGGCCGCGGCCCCGGCAGCUUCUCUCAAAAACAUCUGCAAAGUGCUCUGCUUUACCUUAAGUCCUUUUGAACGUAGCAACCCAUCUAGGGCCAACAAAAUUGGGCUUGAAGAAGCAACGCCCAUAAUGUUUUUAGAGCUAUAAAGAAAGUGAAAGUACAAAAAUCCCCGCUCUCUUCCUUUUACAGG